Molecule: long non-coding RNA, 694 nt
Organism: Pogoniulus pusillus (Red-fronted tinkerbird)
Lineage: Eukaryota; Metazoa; Chordata; Aves; Piciformes; Lybiidae
Exons: 3
Source: RefSeq, a predicted model, not a curated record
CUGAAAGCAUGAAUUGUCCAUAUCAGACUUCACAUUAGAUAUUUGGGUGUCUGUUCACCAAACUCCAACUGACGUUUAAAAGGGUGAGACACUGAUGACUUCAAGCAGUGCUAUUACUGGGACUUGGCAUAAGGCUAAUUAAGGAGAUUCCAGCUCCACGUGUCCUGUUCAUACUGACAUUUGUCUUCUCAAGCCCCCUCACCAGUGACAUCAACAAAUAAGAUAAAACAGUUAAAGAAGAAAUCUAUGGACACUGAUGGCAGUCAAUUUAUUAGCAGUUCACCUAUCACCCUGGUAAAUUAUUCUGAUACAAUUGUAUACCUGAGAGUAUAAAUCCAUAUUGUCACUGAGGUAUAAAAUUAGUAUAAAGAUAUUUAAAGACAUCAGUUUAAAGUGUUAGGGAGAUGUCCAGGUUAUGGUCAUUGCAAAAGUUCAUUUUAUAGUAUCUUUGAUCAAGUACUGGGAGUCAUGCAGUUGAUUAUCUGGCCCAUCUCUCUCUCCAACAUAUUUUAUGAGUCAUGGCUACUGAAAACACUGGGACAAAGCCACAUGAACUCCACUUUUUAAUAGUCCUGUUCCAUUAAAAACAAACAAACAAAACAAAAAAAACACACCAAAAAGCCAAUAGAACAAGAAGAAGUUAAAAUUAACCUACUUUGUCUAAUAUAUUACCACAUUUAGUAGAACUGUAGUA